This 588-nucleotide long non-coding RNA is filed under the name Gossypium barbadense (sea-island cotton). Its description in RNAcentral is "long non-coding RNA (GBAR_LNC014223)". The record is from RNAcentral. Lineage: Eukaryota; Viridiplantae; Streptophyta; Magnoliopsida; Malvales; Malvaceae.
AGUGACCCUAAAUUGGCCUUUGUUGCUAAGCCCUUGUAGUUGAUAAGGUUGUGGAUGCUUGGUAGUGGUUAAGCAAAGCUUUUCCACCAUCGUCGUGCUGGCUAUGUUCGAGCAACUUUCACCAUCAAUAAUAACUCUACAAAGCUUACCUUGUACAUGGCAGCGAGUAUGAAAGAGAUGUUCUCGUUGCUGCUCGCUCUUUGGUUUUGCCAAAGAUGAUUGUCCACGAUCAUGAAAAUCAUCAUCCAUUCUAGGGACACGUUGAGGGCUGCACCUAUAGGGCUGGUUAUCCCUAUCUUCCUUAAUUGGAUAUCGUUAUUGAUGUUUUUGAUUCACUCGUACCUCAUUCAAAGUAGUAUUCAAUGCUUGAAGUGUGGCAUUUAUUUGUGUGAUUGCAGCAGUAUGUUCGUCUAACUGUUGUUGGACUUUCAUAAGUGCAUCAUUAUUAUCACCUUUAGACAUCUUCAAAACCUGAAAAAAAUAAACACUCAACACUCAAAAAUAAAAGUUAGUAAACCUCACCAUUAAUCACUCAAAAAGAAAAAUCAAAUUCUCAAUGAGGUCGAAUUCAAUCUUGUGAGUUCUUUA